UCCAGACUCCUACGGGAGGCAGCAGUGGGGGAUAUUGCACAAUGGGGGAAACCCUGAUGCAGCGACGACGCGUGAGUGAAGAAGUAUUUCGGUAUGUAAAGCUCUCUCAGCAGGGAAGAAAAUGACAGUACCUGACUAAGAAGCCCCGGCUAACUACGUGCCAGCAGCCGCGGUAAUACGUAGGGGGCAAGCGUUAUCCGGAUUUACUGGGUGUAAAGGGAGCGUAGACGGCAUGGCAAGUCAGAUGUGAAAGCCCGGGGCUCAACCCCGGGACUGCAUUUGAAACUGUCAGGCUGGAGUGCAGGAGAGGUAAGUGGAAUUCCUAGUGUAGCGGUGAAAUGCGUAGAUAUUAGGAGGAACACCAGUGGCGAAGGCGGCUUACUGGACUGUAACUGACGUUGAGGCUCGAAAGCGUGGGGAGCAAACAGGAUUAGAUACCCGAGUA
Molecule: ribosomal RNA, 445 nt
Filed under: uncultured bacterium
Lineage: Bacteria
Description: bacterial SSU rRNA
Rfam family: Bacterial small subunit ribosomal RNA
Source: RNAcentral